UGGGGCCUCGUGGACAUCCUUGGUCCCUGGGGGUUCGGCCCUGGAGAACCGUAGAGCACACCCUUCUCUUUUCCUUUUGCCUCCAGACAACGAGGGGAUGGUUUUGCUCUGCACACGCUCCGGCAAUGAUGUGCUGCUUCCUACAGGCCCAGGGCAAGUCGGCCAACUGACGGUGAUGUGGAACCGCCAAACCGUGUCCAGUGGAUACUGAAGAUACUACCCUGCAUCUUAGAGAUGAUCGUGAGGUGUGUGGAUGACGUCUUCACUGUCCAAAGAGGUUAAGAAGUGAAGCUAUAUUGUAUUAUGCAUAGACAUUUGGGGUUCUGAUAACUGAUCGUAUCAACUUGAAUAAGAAACACCCAACUAAGUUGGCUGAGCACAGUUUUAGGAGUGAAGACCCACCCUCAGGAGGACGGUCACCAGAUGGUAUAAAAGGGAAACGAAGCAGGAAGGGUCACUUCUGCUCCUUCGGAGGUGCUCCAGUCUUCAUCUUCACCCGAAACACUGUAACCUGACUUCCAUCUCAGAUCCAUCAGCCUCCUGAUAUCGACUUGCACGGGGAGACCACACUAAACUCUGGGCCUCUGACUGGAUCCUUCAGAUCUACAGCAUACAAAGAGACCUUCUGCACUCUUCCACACCUGACUGUGUGGGCAGCCACUGUAAGGCUAUCUUAUAAAUUCUUGUAUAAUUGUGCAUCUUGCAAUA
This is a long non-coding RNA of Chinchilla lanigera (long-tailed chinchilla), 708 nucleotides long. RefSeq lists it as uncharacterized. The transcript has 3 exons. NCBI's taxonomy places the organism in Eukaryota, Metazoa, Chordata, Mammalia, Rodentia, Chinchillidae. The record is from RefSeq and is a predicted model, not a curated record.